GCUGGGCAUGGUGGCACGUGCCUGUAAUCCCAGCUACUCAGGAGGCUGAGGCAGGAGAAUUGCUUGAACCUGGGAGGCAGAGGUUGCAGUGAGCUGAGGUCACGCCACUGCACUCCAGCCUGGUACCUGGUGACAGAGUGAGACUCUCUCAAAAAAACAAAAAAAAAAAAAAAUAAGAGACAAGAGUCUUGUUCUGUCAUGCAGGCUGGAGUGCAGUGGUUCGAUCUCUGCUCACUGCAACCUUCACCUCCUGGAUUCAAGCAAUUCUCCUGUCUCA
Molecule: small RNA, 277 nt
Filed under: Saimiri boliviensis boliviensis (Bolivian squirrel monkey)
Lineage: Eukaryota; Metazoa; Chordata; Mammalia; Primates; Cebidae
Description: Metazoan signal recognition particle RNA (ENSSBOG00000000989.1)
Source: RNAcentral